This 440-nucleotide ribosomal RNA is filed under the name uncultured bacterium. Its description in RNAcentral is "partial 16S ribosomal RNA". It matches the Rfam family "Bacterial small subunit ribosomal RNA", at positions 338 to 795 of the family's 1533-position model. The record is from RNAcentral.
CCUACGGGGGGCUGCAGUGAGGAAUAUUGGUCAAUGGCCGAGAGGCUGAACCAGCCAAGUCGCGUGAGGGAAGAAGGUUUUCGGAUUGUAAACCUCUGUGGAGGGGGACGAUAAUGACGGUACCCCUUUAGGAAGCCACGGCUAACUACGUGCCAGCAGCCGCGGUAAUACGUAGGUGGCGAGCGUUGUCCGGAAUUACUGGGUGUAAAGGGAGUGUAGGCGGGAAAGCAAGUCAGAAGUGAAAACUAUGGGCUUAACCCAUAGCCUGCUUUUGAAACUGUUUUUCUUGAGUGAAGUAGAGGCAAGCGGAAUUCCUAGUGUAGCGGUGAAAUGCGUAGAUAUUAGGAGGAACACCAGUGGCGAAGGCGGCUUGCUGGGCUUUUACUGACGCUGAGGCUCGAAAGCGUGGGGAGCAAACAGGAUUAGAUACCCGAGUAGUC